This is a long non-coding RNA of Bos taurus (domestic cattle), 500 nucleotides long. Lineage: Eukaryota; Metazoa; Chordata; Mammalia; Artiodactyla; Bovidae. The record is from Ensembl.
CCACCACACUCCUCUGUCCAUGGGAUUCUCCAGGCAAGAAUACUGGAGUGGGUUGCCAUUUCCUCCUCCAGGGGAUCUUCUGGACCCAGACAUCGAACCUGUGUUUCCUGCAUCUCCUGCAUUGCAGGCAGAUUCUUUACUGUUGAGCCACUGGGAAAGCCCUCAGAGAGGGAUACAGACCCCAUUUUCCUGGAAGCUCAGCUCCUACAUGAAAUAUUAAAAGGUAAAGGAGGGCUGAGAGGAGCUACUCCACGUUCAAGGUCAGGAGGGGCGGCCAUGAGGAGAUACCCCUAAUCCAAGCUACCAUCUUGGACAACCAGAUGACUUUGAGGAUCAAAACAGGAAGAACCUGGGUGAUCGUAUUAGUUCACUAGGGCUGCCAUAACAAAAUACCACAGAAAAACAGAAAUUAACUUUCUCACAGUUCUGGAGGGUAGAAGUCCCAGGUCAGCGUGUCAGCAGAUUUGGUUUCUUCUGAGGCCUCUCUCCUUCGCUCGGAA